GUCGGGAUAGCUCAGUCGGUAGAGCAGAGGACUGAAAAUCCUCGUGUCUA
This 50-nucleotide transfer RNA is filed under the name Lathyrus formosus. Its description in RNAcentral is "Vavilovia formosa partial tRNA-Phe". It matches the Rfam family "tRNA", at positions 1 to 49 of the family's 71-position model. Rfam says of the family: Transfer RNA (tRNA) molecules are approximately 80 nucleotides in length. Their secondary structure includes four short double-helical elements and three loops (D, anti-codon, and T loops). The record is from RNAcentral. Lineage: Eukaryota; Viridiplantae; Streptophyta; Magnoliopsida; Fabales; Fabaceae.